Daphnia magna is the source of this 1143-nucleotide long non-coding RNA. RefSeq lists it as uncharacterized. Lineage: Eukaryota; Metazoa; Arthropoda; Branchiopoda; Diplostraca; Daphniidae. The record is from RefSeq and is a predicted model, not a curated record. The transcript has 4 exons.
UAACGAUGGGUGUUGGGCUUUUAACAGGAUCAGCUCCUGUUAAUAUACCACGAAGUGGACUUGAUCGCCACCCUCCACGCUUGUCCCCCUCACCACCAGCCAUAAAUCUGUUCUCGGGGAUACGAGUUGGCACUCAGGAAAGACCGUUGGAAGGAUCGGCCAAUUCUGGGUCUCUAUUUUUCAAACGGGUUGGAAGUUAUAGUAAUGCGGGCGCGCCGUUUCACGACUGGGUGAAUCACCAAACUAGUCAAGUAACAACACUUGUAGAGGAUUGGCGAGUUCUGGUGCAAAUACCUCGCCUUUACUAAGCAAUCUAGCUUCUGCGAGUGGCUCGCUUGGAAAUCACGAGUUGCAGAGACUGCGAGAAGAAGCCACAACUUUACCAAGCAAAAUGCUUUCCCUAGAGGAAGAUUUGUCGCAAGCUAGAAGUGCCUGCGAUGUUUGGAGAUGUAAAGCAAUGGUUGCUGAGCAACAGCGUGAUGAGGCGGUGGCAACGAUAGCUGCUCUUCAAAACGAAAUGAGGUUACUUCGCGAUUCGCUAUCUGUUCACUCGCAUCGAAUCAAAGAAGGGGAAGACUUGCGACAUGUUCCGAUUUAAUUACAGCGAUAUCACAGCUGCCGAGUUAUUCAUUCUACAGCUAACUUUCAGUUGUUUUUCGUUUGAUUUCAUGCCCACUUAGGUAGUAAGUACUUGAUAAAUUUUCAUACACUUCUCGGAUGCCCAUCAUUUUCGAAGUAAAAUUCUUCGGCGUAUAUUAUUGUCAUCCUUAGGUUACGUUAGGUUUGCUUCGUUGGCUUGUGCUGCAUAAUUUUUUCUUGUCCAAUCCAUCUAUUAUUAACGAUGCCAAUUCUGACGACUGUUCUAUUUCUGUUUUCUGUUCCUUUCUCUCAGUGCUUGAAUGUCCACUUUAAAGUGGUUUGUUCUCCAUUUCCUGUUGAUGCUGAUAUUCAAACAGUGAUGAUGUUGAUAAUUCUUUUUUUCUCUCUCUCCCUGUCUGUCAUUUCAUUGCAAUUCUUCAGGAAUAGUUUUGUCUUCCCAAUUCUUCAGACCAUAUGGUUAGACAGUUAAACUGCAACAUUGCACCAUGGUACCAACAAUUAGCCGUAGGCCUAAAAAUAUUAAUAAAAUGUCCGUUACCCAGA